RNAcentral lists this transfer RNA (70 nucleotides) under Scutiger liupanensis (Liupan alpine toad). RNAcentral describes it as "tRNA-Val". Lineage: Eukaryota; Metazoa; Chordata; Amphibia; Anura; Megophryidae. The record is from RNAcentral.
CAGAGUGUAGCUUAACACAAAGCUUCUCGCUUACACCGAGGCAAUGCCUGAUAACCCCAGGUCACUCUGA